UACAGAGGGUGCAAGCGUUAAUCGGAAUUACUGGGCGUAAAGCGCGCGUAGGUGGUUUGUUAAGUUGGAUGUGAAAGCCCGGAGCUCAACUCCGGAAUUGCCUUCAAAACUCUUAAGCUAGAGUUCGGAAGAGGAGAGUGGAAUUCCCAGUGUAGAGGUGAAAUUCGUAGAUAUUGGGAAGAACACCAGUGGCGAAGGCGGCUCUCUGGUCCGAUACUGACGCUGAGGUGCGAAAGCGUGGGGAGCAAACAGGAUUAGAAACCCGUGUAGU
This 271-nucleotide ribosomal RNA is filed under the name uncultured bacterium. RNAcentral's name for it is "partial 16S ribosomal RNA". It matches the Rfam family "Bacterial small subunit ribosomal RNA", at positions 524 to 794 of the family's 1533-position model. The record is from RNAcentral.